GAUGAACGCUGGCGGCGUGCCUAAUACAUGCCAGUCGAGCGAACAGACGAGGAGCUUGCUCCUCUGACGUUAGCGGCGGACGGGUGAGUAACACGUGGAUAACCUCCCUAUAAGACUGGGAUAACUUCGGGAAACCGGAGCUAAUACCGGCUAAUAUCUUGAACCGCAUGGUUCCAUAGUGAAAGCCGGUUUUGCUGUUACUUAUAGAUGGAUCCGCGCCGCAUUAGCUAGUUGGUAAGGUAACGGCUUACCAAGGCAACGAUGCGUAGCCGACCUGAGAGGGUGAUCGGCCACACUGGAACUGAGACACGGUCCAGACUCCUACGGGAGGCAGCAGUAGGGAAUCUUCCGCAAUGGGCGAAAGCCUGACGGAGCAACGCCGCGUGAGUGAUGAAGGUCUUCGGAUCGUAAAACUCUGUUAUUAGGGAAGAACAAAUGGGUAAGUAACUAUGCACGUCUUGACGGUACCGAAUCAGAAAGCCACGGCUAACUACGUG
Molecule: ribosomal RNA, 497 nt
Filed under: uncultured bacterium
Lineage: Bacteria
Description: partial 16S ribosomal RNA
Rfam family: Bacterial small subunit ribosomal RNA
Source: RNAcentral